AUGUUGGCAAAGAUCUACAUAACUGACAGGAGAAAUAGCAGAAGAUACACCAAAAAAGCAGAAGAGAUAUGGCUUCACGAAUCCCGCUGGGCCUGGUGCCUGGGUGCUGCAUCCUGGGGAGACGAGGGUAAGCGGAGGGUGGGGCUCUCUUUCUUGGGGACCUUGACCCCCCUCCCUUUCUCUCCCCUCCCGGGUUGCCGGGGGCCCAGCCACGUGCAGGCUGUGGC
This 227-nucleotide long non-coding RNA is filed under the name Bos grunniens (domestic yak). RNAcentral describes it as "lncRNA (ENSBGRG00000002200.1)". The record is from RNAcentral. Lineage: Eukaryota; Metazoa; Chordata; Mammalia; Artiodactyla; Bovidae.